GACGAACGCUGGCGGCGUGCUUAACACAUGCAAGUCGAACGGAAAGGCCCUUCGGGGUACUCGAGUGGCGAACGGGUGAGUAACACGUGGGUGAUCUGCCCUGCACUUUGGGAUAAGCCUGGGAAACUGGGUCUAAUACCGAAUAGGACCACGCGCUUCAUGGUGUGUGGUGGAAAGCUUUUGCGGUGUGGGAUGGGCCCGCGGCCUAUCAGCUUGUUGGUGGGGUAAUGGCCUACCAAGGCGACGACGGGUAGCCGGCCUGAGAGGGUGACCGGCCACACUGGGACUGAGAUACGGCCCAGACUCCUACGGGAGGCAGCAGUGGGGAAUAUUGCACAAUGGGCGCAAGCCUGAUGCACCGACGCCGCGUGAGGGAUGACGGCCUUCGGGUUGUAAACCUCUUUCAAUAGGGACGAGGCGCAAGUGACGGUACCUAUAGAAGAAGCACCGGCCAACUACGUGCCACCAGCCGCGGUAAUACGUACGGUGCGAGCGUUGUCCGGAAUUACUGGGCGUAAAGAGCUCGUAGGUGGUUUGUCGCGUUGUUCGUGAAAACUCACAGCUUAACUGUGGGCGUGCGGGCGAUACGGGCAGACUAGAGUACUGCAGGGGAGACUGGAAUUCCUGGUGUAGCGGUGGAAUGCGCAGAUAUCAGGAGGAACACCGGUGGCGAAGGCGGGUCUCUGGGCAGUAACUGACGCUGAGGAGCGAAAGCGUGGGGAGCGAACAGGAUUAGAUACCCUGGUAGUCCACGCCGUAAACGGUGGGUACUAGGUGUGGGUUCCUUCCUUGGGAUCCGUGCCGUAGCUAACGCAUUAAGUACCCCGCCUGGGGAGUACGGCCGCAAGGCUAAAACUCAAAGGAAUUGACGGGGGCCCGCACAAGCGGCGGAGCAUGUGGAUUAAUUCGAUGCAACGCGAAGAACCUUACCUGGGUUUGACAUGCACAGGACGCCGGCAGAGAUGUCGGUUCCCUUGUGGCCUGUGUGCAGGUGGUGCAUGGCUGUCGUCAGCUCGUGUCGUGAGAUGUUGGGUUAAGUCCCGCAACGAGCGCAACCCUUGUCCUAUGUUGCCAGCGGGUUAUGCCGGGGACUCGUAGGAGACUGCCGGGGUCAACUCGGAGGAAGGUGGGGAUGACGUCAAGUCAUCAUGCCCCUUAUGUCCAGGGCUUCACACAUGCUACAAUGGCCGGUACAAAGGGCUGCGAUGCCGUGAGGUGGAGCGAAUCCUUUCAAAGCCGGUCUCAGUCCGGAUCGGGGUCUGCAACUCGACCCCGUGAAGUCGGAGUCGCUAGUAAUCGCAGAUCAGCAACGCUGCGGUGAAUACGUUCCCGGGCCU
This 1337-nucleotide ribosomal RNA is filed under the name uncultured bacterium. RNAcentral's name for it is "bacterial SSU rRNA". It matches the Rfam family "Bacterial small subunit ribosomal RNA", at positions 28 to 1381 of the family's 1533-position model. The record is from RNAcentral.